Molecule: long non-coding RNA, 1846 nt
Filed under: Bactrocera tryoni
Lineage: Eukaryota; Metazoa; Arthropoda; Insecta; Diptera; Tephritidae
Description: uncharacterized LOC120769627
Source: RNAcentral
UGUGCACAAAAAAAUUAAUUAAAUUGUGGAAAAGUCAAAACAUGUAAAAUCCUAUAGCACGGAAUACUGCAGACGUAUGUAAACAUUACCGUAAUGAAGUGCGUAGAGCGUAUAAACGCCGCUGGCUGCCAGCAUUGCGUGUGAUAACAAAAACAUAAGCAUAUAGUGUAUAUAUAUAUAUAUGUAACAGUUCAGCGAAAUUUACAAUCAAUUAUGAAAUGAAAAUUCUCGCAUAAAUAAACCAAUUUUCGUUUACGAAAAGCUGAAAGCAAAGUGUAAUGAGAAAAGUGCAAAAGUGCAAGCUCAGAAUAUCUGUACGGCGAAUAUACAUAUAUAUUAUCUACACUAUAUACAUAUAUGUAAAAUGUAUUACUCAGGUUCGCCGAUCGAUGCUUCGACGCAUUUGGACCCUACCUCAAUGCAACUCGUUACAUACAAAUAAUGUGUAUACCGACUGUACGCAAGUGAAUUUCUAUACUAAACGAGUGCAUUUACGGACUAAGGUCUAUGUAGUGGCUCAUUGCAAAAUCUAUGUGUUUGAGUGUAUGUGCACAUACACUAGGAAGCAAAUUUUUAAUUUUGAAAUGCAAUUUACAUUAAUUUAAAAUAUAUUAUAGCCGUACUUAGUACGCGCUUUCGUGCAAUUUAGUUAAUUGAAUUUUUCGCAUACAAGAAAUGGCGACGGCAUUCGGUAAUGAUUGGCACGAGCAUUCGCUUACGAAAGCUAACAACGAAAUUGUCAACGCCGGCGGCAUAAACAUAUGACGAAAGUGCAAAGGUGUUAAAAAAAUCAGCAAAACAAAAGCCGGAGGACCUUAAUGAGGUCUUUAAAUUCGUAAGGAUUUGGAAGCCUUGGUUCAACGGUAUGUCUCAGAUUUGCAUAAAUUAAAAAGGAGGAAUGGAGCCUGAAUAAAUCAAAGCUUGGAAGGUUACUUUGUGCUUUAACUACUACUAGCAAAUAAAAAUUGUUUUAAAUGACGGAAUUGGAAGUAUUCAGAUAAAUGUGUAAAAGGAUAUUUUUGAAACCAAGUUCAUCUUUCUACAACGCAAAUUCUUCAGAUUGCUUAGAACUGUAUAAAAUAAGCAUGCUAGUUGACAUUCAUAAAUGAGUUAAAGGUUUGUCCAAGUAUCUUCUACAAUUAUAUAUAUAUUGUUCGAGAAGUGAAAGGCCAGGUGGACAAGAAAGAUUCAAGAGACCUUAGUCCAGCUGAAGAAUUUUACGUUAACGUUUAUCAUGAAAGUUGGAGCACAAUAGACCUAAGGUCGCGGUGCAUUCCUCAUUUAUUAAUCUUAUCAUGAAAGCUUCUCUUUUAAGGCAUGAUUUUCCUCAUGUAGUGAGGAUAAUCAAGAAGGCAAAAGUUCUUCGAUAUUUCCUUUUCAAAUAUUUCCUUCAAAAGCAAUGACAAUUUGGACCUCUAAAUACUACACUACGUUGAUUAUGACAUUGUACGAGUAUAUUCUUGUUUAUUAGCGUAGACAUCGCUUUCGCGAUUACAGCCGAUUAUAUAGUAUACGAGUAUAUAGCUAGUAGAAAUCGACAUCAUGAAUGUAAAAAGAAUUUAUAAAAGGCGGUUUGACUGAUGGGUCUUGUAACAACUUACAAGGAAAUUUCAACGAUUUAAAAUUUCCGAAAAGUGCUGAUUGCUCUUUUGAGUUUAGGUUAUAUACUAGUAAAUAAUAAAAAUUGAACAACUCGUCUAACAACCAUGUAUAUCACCCAAAAACGACAAUCAUAUCUCCGAUUAACGUAACAAUCUUGUACUUGAAAUGAAUUUUAUUUUAUGGUUUGUUAUCCGUUAUUAUUUAUAGUCGACAUAAGAACUUCAAGCUGAUCCAUCUCUAAUAC